UAAGGAAUAUUGGACAAUGGUCGCAAGACUGAUCCAGCCAUGCCGCGUGCAGGAAGACGGCCCUAUGGGUUGUAAACUGCUUUUGUACCAGAGAAAGCCUAUCUACGUGUAGAUAGCUGAUAGUAUGGUAAGAAUAAGCAUCGGCUAACUUCGUGCCAGCAGCCGCGGUAAGACGAAGGAUGCAAGCGUUAUCCGGAUUCAUUGGGUUUAAAGGGUGCGUAGGCGGGCUUGUAAGUCAGUGGUGAAAUCUCUCAGCUUAACUGAGAAACUGCCAUUGAUACUGCAGGCCUAGAGUAUAGAUGACGUUGGCGGAAUAUGACAUGUAGUGGUGAAAUACUUAGAUAUGUCAUAGAACACCGAUUGCGAAGGCAGCUAACGAAACUAUAACUGACGCUGAGGCACGAAAGUGCGGGGAUCAAACA
This 422-nucleotide ribosomal RNA is filed under the name uncultured bacterium. RNAcentral describes it as "bacterial SSU rRNA". It matches the Rfam family "Bacterial small subunit ribosomal RNA", at positions 355 to 774 of the family's 1533-position model. The record is from RNAcentral.